UACGGAGGGUGCAAGCGUUAUCCGGAAUCACUGGGUUUAAAGGGUGCGUAGGCGGAUUAAUAAGUCUGUAGUGAAAGUCUGUUGCUUAACGAUAGAAUUGCUAUGGAUACUGUUAGUCUUGAAUUGAGUUGAGGAUAGCGGAAUGUGGCAUGUAGCGGUGAAAUGCAUAGAUAUGCCAUAGAACACCAAUUGCGAAGGCAGCUAUCUGGGUCAACACUGACGCUCAUGUACGAAAGCGUGGGGAGCAAACGGG
RNAcentral lists this ribosomal RNA (253 nucleotides) under uncultured bacterium. Its description in RNAcentral is "partial 16S ribosomal RNA". It matches the Rfam family "Bacterial small subunit ribosomal RNA", at positions 524 to 776 of the family's 1533-position model. The record is from RNAcentral.